This 411-nucleotide ribosomal RNA is filed under the name uncultured bacterium. RNAcentral's name for it is "bacterial SSU rRNA". It matches the Rfam family "Bacterial small subunit ribosomal RNA", at positions 958 to 1392 of the family's 1533-position model. The record is from RNAcentral.
AACGCGAAGAACCUUACCAACCCUUGACAUCCUAGGACAACUCCAGAGAUGGAGCCUUCCUUCGGGACCUAGUGACAGGUGCUGCAUGGCUGUCGUCAGCUCGUGUCGUGAGAUGUUCGGUUAAGUCCGGCAACGAGCGCAACCCACAUCCUUAGUUGCCAGCAGUUCGGCUGGGCACUCUAGGGAAACUGCCCGUGAUAAGCGGGAGGAAGGUGUGGAUGACGUCAAGUCCUCAUGGCCCUUACGGGUUGGGCUACACACGUGCUACAAUGGCAGUGACAAUGGGUUAAUCCCCAAAAACUGUCUCAGUUCGGAUUGGGGUCUGCAACUCGACCCCAUGAAGUCGGAAUCGCUAGUAAUCGCGUAACAGCAUGACGCGGUGAAUACGUUCCCGGGGUCUUGUACACACCG